CAGCCGCCGCGGGAAUACGUAGGUGGCAAGUGUUGUCCGGAAUUAUUGGGCGUAAAGCGCGCGCAGGCGGUUUCUUAAGUCUGAUGUGAAAGCCCCCGGCUUAACCGGGGAGGGUCAUUGGAAACUGGGAGACUUAGAGUGCAGAAGAGGAGAGUGGAAUUCCAUGUGUAGCGGUGAAAUGCGUAGAUAUAUGGAGGAACACCAGUGGCGAAGGCGACUCUCUGGUCUGUAACUGACGCUGAGGCGCGAAAGCGUGGGGAGCAAACAGGAUUAGAUACCCCUGUAGUCCCUGUCUCUUAUU
This 301-nucleotide ribosomal RNA is filed under the name uncultured bacterium. Its description in RNAcentral is "partial 16S ribosomal RNA". It matches the Rfam family "Bacterial small subunit ribosomal RNA", at positions 509 to 808 of the family's 1533-position model. The record is from RNAcentral.